CAGUAGCCGCGGGAAUACGAAGGGGGCUAGCGUUGUUCGGAAUCACUGGGCGUAAAGGGUGCGUAGGCGGAUUCUUAAGUCAGGGGUGAAAUCCCGAGGCUCAACCUCGGAACUGCCUUUGAUACUGGGGAUCUUGAGUCCGGAAGAGGUGAGUGGAACUGCGAGUGUAGAGGUGAAAUUCGUAGAUAUUCGCAAGAACACCGGUGGCGAAGGCGGCUCACUGGUCCGGAACUGACGCUGAGGCACGACAGCGUGGGGAGCAAACAGGAUUAGAUACCCCCGUAGUCCCUGUCUCUUAUAA
Molecule: ribosomal RNA, 301 nt
Filed under: uncultured bacterium
Lineage: Bacteria
Description: partial 16S ribosomal RNA
Rfam family: Bacterial small subunit ribosomal RNA
Source: RNAcentral